Molecule: ribosomal RNA, 253 nt
Filed under: uncultured bacterium
Lineage: Bacteria
Description: partial 16S ribosomal RNA
Rfam family: Bacterial small subunit ribosomal RNA
Source: RNAcentral
UACGUAGGGACCGAGCGUUGUCCGGAUUCAUUGGGCGUAAAGAGCUCGUAGGCGGCCACUCAAGUCGAAUGUGAAACUUCGAGGCUUAACCUCGAGCCUGCAUUCGAUACUGGGCGGCUAGAGUCUGGUAGGGGGAUCUGGAAUUCCUGGUGUAGCGGUGGAAUGCGCAGAUAUCAGGAGGAACACCGGUGGCGAAGGCGGGAUCCUGGGCCAGUACUGACGCUGAGGAGCGAAAGCGUGGGGAGCGAACAGG